GAUGAACGCUGGCGGCGUGCCUAAUACAUGCAAGUCGAGCGAACAGACGAGGAGCUUGCUCCUCUGACGUUAGCGGCGGACGGGUGAGUAACACGUGGAUAACCUACCUAUAAGACUGGGAUAACUUCGGGAAACCGGAGCUAAUACCGGAUAAUAUAUUGAACCGCAUGGUUCAAUAGUGAAAGACGGUUUUGCUGUCACUUAUAGAUGGAUCCGCGCCGCAUUAGCUAGUUGGUAAGGUAACGGCUUACCAAGGCAACGAUGCGUAGCCGACCUGAGAGGGUGAUCGGCCACACUGGAACUGAGACACGGUCCAGACGCCUGCGGGAGGCAGCAGUAGGGAAUCUUCCGCAAUGGGCGAAAGCCUGACGGAGCAACGCCGCGUGAGUGAUGAAGGUCUUCGGAUCGUAAAACUCUGUUAUUAGGGAAGAACAAAUGUGUAAGUAACUAUGCACGUCUUGACGGUACCUAAUCAGAAAGCCACGGCUAACUACGUG
This 497-nucleotide ribosomal RNA is filed under the name uncultured bacterium. RNAcentral's name for it is "partial 16S ribosomal RNA". It matches the Rfam family "Bacterial small subunit ribosomal RNA", at positions 28 to 507 of the family's 1533-position model. The record is from RNAcentral.